RNAcentral lists this non-coding RNA (100 nucleotides) under Rhizobium sp. RU36D. RNAcentral describes it as "RcsR1 sRNA". It matches the Rfam family "RcsR1 sRNA". From Rfam's summary of the family: RcsR1 (rhizobial cold and salinity stress riboregulator 1) trans-acting sRNA, formerly known as SmelC587, is a stress-related riboregulator, conserved in Sinorhizobium, Rhizobium and Agrobacterium. In S. meliloti RcsR1 less conserved central region is responsible for the species-specific interaction with the 5'UTR of autoinducer synthase encoding mRNA sinI. The record is from Rfam by way of RNAcentral. Lineage: Bacteria; Pseudomonadati; Pseudomonadota; Alphaproteobacteria; Hyphomicrobiales; Rhizobiaceae.
ACAUUGCAAACUGGUGGUGGGCUCGCUGAAGUGGCCUUGACCAGUCAUGUCCUGAGACAAAUGACCAAAGCCGCCCGGAAAAUCCUGAGGCGGCUUUUUU